Molecule: transfer RNA, 73 nt
Filed under: Chloroflexota bacterium
Lineage: Bacteria; Bacillati; Chloroflexota
Description: Chloroflexi bacterium tRNA-Arg
Rfam family: tRNA
About the family: Transfer RNA (tRNA) molecules are approximately 80 nucleotides in length. Their secondary structure includes four short double-helical elements and three loops (D, anti-codon, and T loops).
Source: RNAcentral
GCGCCCUUAGCUCAAUGGAUAGAGCACCAGUCUUCGAAACUGGGUGUUGGGGGUUCGAAUCCCUCAGGGCGUA